RNAcentral lists this ribosomal RNA (900 nucleotides) under Enterococcus faecium. Its description in RNAcentral is "bacterial SSU rRNA". It matches the Rfam family "Bacterial small subunit ribosomal RNA", at positions 61 to 931 of the family's 1533-position model. Lineage: Bacteria; Bacillati; Bacillota; Bacilli; Lactobacillales; Enterococcaceae. The record is from RNAcentral.
GUCGAACGCUUCUUUUUCCACCGGAGCUUGCUCCACCGGAAAAAGAGGAGUGGCGAACGGGUGAGUAACACGUGGGUAACCUGCCCAUCAGAAGGGGAUAACACUUGGAAACAGGUGCUAAUACCGUAUAACAAUCGAAACCGCAUGGUUUUGAUUUGAAAGGCGCUUUCGGGUGUCGCUGAUGGAUGGACCCGCGGUGCAUUAGCUAGUUGGUGAGGUAACGGCUCACCAAGGCCACGAUGCAUAGCCGACCUGAGAGGGUGAUCGGCCACAUUGGGACUGAGACACGGCCCAAACUCCUACGGGAGGCAGCAGUAGGGAAUCUUCGGCAAUGGACGAAAGUCUGACCGAGCAACGCCGCGUGAGUGAAGAAGGUUUUCGGAUCGUAAAACUCUGUUGUUAGAGAAGAACAAGGAUGAGAGUAACUGUUCAUCCCUUGACGGUAUCUAACCAGAAAGCCACGGCUAACUACGUGCCAGCAGCCGCGGUAAUACGUAGGUGGCAAGCGUUGUCCGGAUUUAUUGGGCGUAAAGCGAGCGCAGGCGGUUUCUUAAGUCUGAUGUGAAAGCCCCCGGCUCAACCGGGGAGGGUCAUUGGAAACUGGGAGACUUGAGUGCAGAAGAGGAGAGUGGAAUUCCAUGUGUAGCGGUGAAAUGCGUAGAUAUAUGGAGGAACACCAGUGGCGAAGGCGGCUCUCUGGUCUGUAACUGACGCUGAGGCUCGAAAGCGUGGGGAGCAAACAGGAUUAGAUACCCUGGUAGUCCACGCCGUAAACGAUGAGUGCUAAGUGUUGGAGGGUUUCCGCCCUUCAGUGCUGCAGCUAACGCAUUAAGCACUCCGCCUGGGGAGUACGACCGCAAGGUUGAAACUCAAAGGAAUUGACGGGGGCCCGCACAAGCG